CACGAAGCUGGAAUCGCUAGUAAUCGCGAAUCAGAAUGUCGCGGUGAAUACGUUCCCGGGUCUUGUACACACCGCCCGUCACACCAUGGGAGUCGGGAAUGCCCGAAGCCGGUGACCUAACCGAAAGGAAGGAGCCGUCGAAGGCAGGUCUGAUAACUGGGGUGAAGUCGUAACAAGGUAAC
This 182-nucleotide ribosomal RNA is filed under the name uncultured bacterium. RNAcentral describes it as "partial 16S ribosomal RNA". It matches the Rfam family "Bacterial small subunit ribosomal RNA", at positions 1319 to 1500 of the family's 1533-position model. The record is from RNAcentral.